GAAGUUAACCAUAGUUGCUAGACACUCUACACAGUCACAAAGCAAGAUGUGUGGUUUAAAAUAUGUGUGAAAGAACCAUAAUGAAGCCCAUUGAUUUUUGUAUGCUGUGUUUUUUUAAAAAUCAACUAACAAAAGAGAUUGUGUUGCUCAUUUUUUGCUUACAACAUUGGAUAUUUUGUGGCAAGGUCAUUGGUAGGGUCAGCUACAAAUGCCUCAGUGUAAGGACCCUAUUAUUCUCAACUCUGUAUGGAGCACAGCCAACACCCAACACAUUGCCCAGAACCUAGUGCUCUUGUGCCAGCCAGAACAAAUAAAAGCAUAAU
Molecule: long non-coding RNA, 323 nt
Filed under: Rattus norvegicus (Norway rat)
Lineage: Eukaryota; Metazoa; Chordata; Mammalia; Rodentia; Muridae
Description: long non-coding RNA NONRATT015194
Source: RNAcentral